Molecule: small RNA, 126 nt
Filed under: Pseudotamlana haliotis
Lineage: Bacteria; Pseudomonadati; Bacteroidota; Flavobacteriia; Flavobacteriales; Flavobacteriaceae
Description: Tamlana haliotis 6S-Flavo RNA
Rfam family: 6S-Flavo RNA
Source: Rfam by way of RNAcentral
ACUCAACGUUAAUUCUUUAAAAAGGGUGAGUUUAAGUUGUAAAAGCAUGCUGUUGUAUUGAUUUAUUUCAAUACUGAACAGACCCUUGAUCAGCUUGUUAGCCCUAAACUUGUUUUUAAGGAGUUU